RNAcentral lists this ribosomal RNA (504 nucleotides) under Phaeosphaeria spartinicola. RNAcentral describes it as "eukaryotic LSU rRNA". The stretch from base 172 to 325 matches the Rfam family "5.8S ribosomal RNA". Lineage: Eukaryota; Fungi; Ascomycota; Dothideomycetes; Pleosporales; Phaeosphaeriaceae. The record is from RNAcentral.
CAUUACAAAAAGGCCCAAAUAGUAUGCUUGUGCAUAUCAACUGCUAUUUGAACCUUUAUUCUACCUUGAUUUUUUGCGUACUCCUGUUUCCUUGGUAGGCUUGCCUGCCAGCUGGACAAAUCUAUAACCCUUUUAAUAUUUAAUCAGCGUCUGAGUAAAUUUAAUAAUUACAACUUUCAACAACGGAUCUCUUGGUUCUGGCAUCGAUGAAGAACGCAGCGAAAUGCGAUAAGUAGUGUGAAUUGCAGAAUUCAGUGAAUCAUCGAAUCUUUGAACGCACAUUGCGCCCCUUGGUAUUCCAUGGGGCAUGCCUGUUCGAGCGUCAUUUGUAAUCUCAAGCUAUGCUUGGUGGUUGGGCAACUUGUCUCAGUUAAGCCUGCAGACAUGCCUUAAAUAUAUUGGCAGCCAGUGUUUUGGUUUGAAAUGUGCAGCACAGCGCCUCAAGCUAUUUAAUACAGGCAACCAUGAAGAAUUAUCACUCUUUUGACCUCGGAUCAGGUAGGG